CCUACGGGGGGCUGCAGUGAGGAAUAUUGGUCAAUGGACGAGAGUCUGAACCAGCCAAGUAGCGUGAAGGAUGACUGCCCUAUGGGUUGUAAACUUCUUUUAUAUGGGAAUAAAAUGUUCCACGUGUGGGAUUUUGUAUGUACCAUAUGAAUAAGGAUCGGCUAACUCCGUGCCAGCAGCCGCGGUAAUACGGAGGAUCCGAGCGUUAUCCGGAUUUAUUGGGUUUAAAGGGAGCGUAGGUGGAUUGUUAAGUCAGUUGUGAAAGUUUGCGGCUCAACCGUAAAAUUGCAGUUGAAACUGGCAGUCUUGAUUACAGUAGAGGUGGGCGGAAUUCGUGGUGUAGCGGUGAAAUGCUUAGAUAUCACGAAGAACUCCGAUUGCGAAGGCAGUUCACUGGACUGUAACUGACACUGAGGCUCGAAAGUGUGGGUAUCAAACAGGAUUAGAUACCCUUGUAGUC
RNAcentral lists this ribosomal RNA (460 nucleotides) under uncultured bacterium. RNAcentral describes it as "partial 16S ribosomal RNA". It matches the Rfam family "Bacterial small subunit ribosomal RNA", at positions 338 to 795 of the family's 1533-position model. The record is from RNAcentral.